Molecule: ribosomal RNA, 497 nt
Filed under: uncultured bacterium
Lineage: Bacteria
Description: partial 16S ribosomal RNA
Rfam family: Bacterial small subunit ribosomal RNA
Source: RNAcentral
GGGGGGGGGGGGGGGGGGGGGGGGGGGGGGCGGGGGGGGGGGGGGGGGUGGGUGCGUGCGGCGAGUUGGAGGGCAGCGGACGGGUGGGUGACGCGUGGGGGGUCGGCCGUGGAGCGGGGGGCAACAGUUGGAAACGAAUGCUAAUACCGCAUAACCACUUUAAACAUAAGUUUUAAGUUUGAAAGAUGCAAUUGCAUCACUCAAAGAUCAUCCCGCGUUGUAUUAGCUAGUUGGUGAGGUAACGGCUCACCAAGGCGCGGAUACAUAGCCGACCUGGGAGGGUGAUCGGCCACAUUGGGACUGAGACACGGCCCAAACUCCUACGGGAGGUAGCAGUAGGGAAUCUUCGGCAAUGGACGAAAGUCUGACCGAGCAACGCCGCGUGAGUGAAGAAGGUUUUCGGAUCGUAAUACUCUGUUGGUAGAGAAGAACGUUGGUGAGAGUGGAAAGCUCAUCAAGUGACGGUAACUACCCAGAAAGGGACGGCUAACUACGUG